GGUUAAGCGACUAAGCGUACACGGUGGAUGCCCUGGCAGUCAGAGGCGAUGAAGGACGUGCUAAUCUGCGAAAAGCGCCGGCGAGGUGAUAUGAACCUUUGACCCGGCGAUGUCCGAAUGGGGAAACCCAGUGCAAUUCGUUGCACUAUCGUUAACUGAAUACAUAGGU
This 169-nucleotide ribosomal RNA is filed under the name Enterobacter asburiae. RNAcentral's name for it is "partial 23S ribosomal RNA". It matches the Rfam family "Bacterial large subunit ribosomal RNA", at positions 1 to 171 of the family's 2925-position model. Lineage: Bacteria; Pseudomonadati; Pseudomonadota; Gammaproteobacteria; Enterobacterales; Enterobacteriaceae. The record is from RNAcentral.